AAGUAUAAACAGUACGUAGUGUCUUCAACACUAAAGGCCUAACCUA
Molecule: transfer RNA, 46 nt
Filed under: Strigamia maritima
Lineage: Eukaryota; Metazoa; Arthropoda; Chilopoda; Geophilomorpha; Linotaeniidae
Description: tRNA-Glu
Source: RNAcentral